AUGUUAGAGUUAGAGCUCUCUAGUAGUAAGUUACUACUAAAUAGUUGUAAAUAUCCAAGCAGCAAUAAAAGAUGCCAAGGAAGCAAAUCUGCUGAUUAUGACUUCAAUGGUAAGUUAAAAUGUUUUCCAAGUUUUAAACAAUUUGAAAACAGCUUUCACAAUUUAGUUUAUUUGUAAAUUGUGGUCAGAUAUUUUCUUCAAAAUGCCCUUUUUUUUUCACUAAUGUGUAUCCAUAACUUUCUACAUUUUCACAUAAUUCACACUUGGAGAGUAAUUAAAAC
RNAcentral lists this long non-coding RNA (281 nucleotides) under Vulpes vulpes (red fox). RNAcentral describes it as "lncRNA (ENSVVUG00000012116.1)". Lineage: Eukaryota; Metazoa; Chordata; Mammalia; Carnivora; Canidae. The record is from RNAcentral.